UGCAAGCGUUGUCCGGAAUUAUUGGGCGUAAAGAGCUCGUAGGUGGUUCGUCACGUCGGAUGUGAAACUCUGGGGCUUAACCCCAGACCUGCAUUCGAUACGGGCGAGCUUGAGUAUGGUAGGGGAGUCUGGAAUUCCUGGUGUAGCGGUGGAAUGCGCAGAUAUCAGGAGGAACACCAAUGGCGAAGGCAGGACUCUGGGCCAUUACUGACACUGAGGAGCGAAAGCGUGGGGAGCGAACAGGAUUAGAUACCCUGGUAGUCCACGCCGUAAACGGUGGGCACUAGUUGUGGGGACCUUCCACGGUCUCUGCGACGCAGCUAACGCAUUAAGUGCCCCGCCUGGGGAGUACGAUCGCAAGAUUAAAACUCAAAGGAAUUGACGGGGCCCCGCACAAGCAGCGGAGCAUGCGGCUUAAUUCGACGCAACGCGAAGAACCUUACCAAGGCUUGACAUAUACAGGAAUAUGGCAGAGAUGUCAUAGCCGCAAGGUC
This 494-nucleotide ribosomal RNA is filed under the name uncultured Actinomycetes bacterium. Its description in RNAcentral is "bacterial SSU rRNA". It matches the Rfam family "Bacterial small subunit ribosomal RNA", at positions 533 to 1028 of the family's 1533-position model. Lineage: Bacteria; Bacillati; Actinomycetota; Actinomycetes. The record is from RNAcentral.